Molecule: ribosomal RNA, 126 nt
Filed under: microbial fuel cell bacterium P1
Lineage: Bacteria; Pseudomonadati; Pseudomonadota; Gammaproteobacteria; Pseudomonadales; Pseudomonadaceae
Description: partial 16S ribosomal RNA
Rfam family: Bacterial small subunit ribosomal RNA
Source: RNAcentral
UGGGCGAAAGCCUGAUCCAGCCAUGCCGCGUGUGUGAAGAAGGUCUUCGGAUUGUAAAGCACUUUAAGUUGGGAGGAAGGGCAGUAAGUUAAUACCUUGCUGUUUUGACGUUACCAACAGAAUAAG